UACGUAGGGUGCGAGCGUUGUCCGGAUUUAUUGGGCGUAAAGGGCUCGUAGGCGGCUUGUCGCGUCGGGAGUGAAAGCCCGGGGCUUAACUCCGGGUCUGCAUUCGAUACGGGCAGGCUAGAGUUCGGUAGGGGAGAUCGGAAUUCCUGGUGUAGCGGUGAAAUGACGCAGAUAUCAGGAGGAACACCGGUGGCGAAGGCGGAUCUCUGGGCCGUAACUGACGCUGAGGAGCGAAAGCAUGGGGAGCGAACAGG
This 254-nucleotide ribosomal RNA is filed under the name uncultured bacterium. RNAcentral's name for it is "partial 16S ribosomal RNA". It matches the Rfam family "Bacterial small subunit ribosomal RNA", at positions 524 to 776 of the family's 1533-position model. The record is from RNAcentral.